RNAcentral lists this long non-coding RNA (862 nucleotides) under Salvia miltiorrhiza (redroot sage). Its description in RNAcentral is "long non-coding RNA (SMIL_LNC013185)". The record is from RNAcentral. Lineage: Eukaryota; Viridiplantae; Streptophyta; Magnoliopsida; Lamiales; Lamiaceae.
AAAAACGAAAAAUGAUACUACAUGCAUCUCAUUAUUUCAUUACUUUUAAGUACGAAAAUAAAAAAUAUAUAUAAUUAAUAUAUAAAGUGAAUUAAUAAAUGAUAUUUAAAGAUUAUUUUAAAUAAAUUGGGCUAACUAUUAAUAAUAUUUUAAAUGAUUAAUAUUUUACUAAAAAAGGUACGAGACAUUAUUAAUGGAACGUCUCAAUAUAGUAAUUAAAAUAUUCCUACUAACUAGACGGAUGGAGCCUUUGCCAAAAAUGAAAAGAAGAAACAUCAUAGACAAAAUAAGAAAAAAAAAAUCUUUAAAAAAGGGGAAAAGAAAAAAAAAUCUAGAAUCUAAAAAAAGAAAGAAAAUAAAAACUGCAGUCACAACUCAACAAUAAUGGAUUGGUAUUUAUACCUUAACCAACAACGCAGAAACAAAAGAGAAUAUACAAAAGGUAGCAUCCGCAUUUUACUUUCCCAAAAUUUAUUUCUUUAGCACUUAUUUAGUUAAUAUUUUACGCGUUUGCUUUACAUCAACGGAGAGAAGCACACCUAAUCCCUCCUCCCAAAGUUAUACCAAUUGGGCCCCACAUCAAUAACAAAAGGUUAAAAUCAUACCUACAAACUUCCACACCCCAUCUCUCUACUUCUUCAUUUUUUCUUCCCUCCUUUUACUUUUUUCUUUCUCUUUUUCUUUUGAUCUUUUCCUACAUUAAAUCAUCUAAUGAUUUCAUUGUUCUACAACUAUCACCAAUUACUCUUUUUCUUAUUUUAUUUUUAGUGAUUGUUUCAUGCAUAUGAAUUUACUGCAAAAUCUAAAUAUGUGUUAAAAUGCAAAUAAAAUUUAAAUCUCAAACUUAUGCAUUAUUGCAAGU